RNAcentral lists this ribosomal RNA (468 nucleotides) under uncultured bacterium. Its description in RNAcentral is "partial 16S ribosomal RNA". It matches the Rfam family "Bacterial small subunit ribosomal RNA", at positions 28 to 507 of the family's 1533-position model. The record is from RNAcentral.
GACGAACGCUGGCGGCGUGCUUAACACAUGCAAGUCGAACGGAAAGGCCCUGCUUUUGUGGGGUGCUCGAGUGGCGAACGGGUGAGUAACACGUGAGUAACCUGCCCUUGACUUUGGUAUAACUUCAGGAAACUGGGGCUACUACCGGAUAGGAGCUCCUGCUGCAUGGUGGGGGUUGGAAAGUUUCGGCGGUUGGGGAUGGACUCGCGGCUUAUCAGCUUGUUGGUGGGGUAGUGGCUUACCAAGGCUUUGACGGGUAGCCGGCCUGAGAGGGUGACCGGCCACAUUGGGACUGAGAUACGGCCCAGACUCCUACGGGAGGCAGCAGUGGGGAAUAUUGCACAAUGGGCGGAAGCCUGAUGCAGCAACGCCGCGUGCGGGAUGACGGCCUGCGGGUUGUAAACCGCUUUCGCCUGUGACGAAGCGUGAGUGACGGUAAUGGGUAAAGAAGCACCGGCUAACUACGUG